This 2425-nucleotide long non-coding RNA is filed under the name Homo sapiens (human). RNAcentral's name for it is "HSALNT0379868". Lineage: Eukaryota; Metazoa; Chordata; Mammalia; Primates; Hominidae. The record is from RNAcentral.
UUUCCCUCCAGGGCUGGAUCCUGGAUGGAGUGGGGCUUAUGCAGAUCACCUUGCAGAGGAAAGAAGGAAGAGGAGAGAGAGACAGAGAUGGGGGCCUAAAUGUAGAUAUUGUACACUUUUACAGUUGCAGAUUCAGACUGCACAGUCCCGGACAGAUCCCCACUAAAGGUCUGGGUAAAAGUCCUGAAACCUCCUCUCAAUUUCAGAUGCCCUCCCGCCAAUCAGCUGACUCCAAGUGGAGCAAAGCCCAGGUCUUGACAUAGAUACAGAUAACAUACACGCCCAGAUGAUGUCACAAUCAGCUGUAUCUAAACAGAGCAGAGCUCAGGUGACAUCACAGAACAGGCAGAGGCAGUUCAGGGGUAUUCUGGUUGCCUUACCCAGCUCUGAAGUCUGUCAGCCUCUUCAGAUGUCACUUGCCAUGUGGUAAGGAAGUGUAGUCAGCAGCUGGUGCAGUGGGAAGAAGAGAAAGGAAGUUCCCCAAGACAAAAACAUCUCGGCAGACUUCAUCAUGAAUUCAUGGCAUCACACAGUCCCCUGAUGCUAUAACAUCAUGGAUUUCUUUUGUCCAGUGAGAGGCCCAAAAGCUGCAGCAUAGACAAUAUCAUAGUGUAGAAGGUUCACUAGACCGUGAUCAUGGGCUACAUUCUCCGUACCAGCUUCAUAGCUCCAGUGAGAAAAUAAAUUCCUGCAUCCAGGAGAUGUGGAGUAAGAGAUACAGCUGCCCUUGACCAUAUUUCUUACUUCCGAGAAGAUCGUAGCAGUAAUUCAGAAUCUCAUCCAGGAUACCUCAUCACAGGCUGGAGUGCAGUGUCAUGAGCUUGGCUCACUACAGCCUCCAUCUUCUGUGCUUAAGGAUCCUUCCCUCUCAACCUCCAAGGUAGCUGAGACUACAGGCAACAUUCGAAACCCAGGUGCCACUCCUUCAGGAAGGUACCAUCAAGCUCCAAGGACUCAUCCUCUUUCUCCUUCCCCACUACCUAGUCAUUAGAGCGUCAGCAUCCACUUCCUGAAAGGAAGAUGCCUGUUUUUCACAUAUCCCAGAAAGCCUCAUUUUAGGACAGCAUUUAGCAGAGUGUAUUCAGGAUCCCACUAACCUUUUCGGAAGACAUGACUUCCAGAUGAUAUAAGGCAAGAAUAAGAAAUUUCAGUGACAGGGAACAGAAAUCAUAUUUCUGCAUUCAGGAUCAUGUUUUCUUGGCUCCAUCAGGAACUGUGCAGGACUGUGCACUCUGUUGAUACUCACAUGGUGGAAUUAUAUUGCCCUUGGCCAACCCUAAAGCCAUCAAGAUAGCAGGUUUGGAAUAAUUCACUGUCGAAGUCUUCUUGAGCUGAGCAGUCAUGUGAGCUUGGAAGAUGAUCCCUCUCCAGCUGAUCCUUCAGCUCAGGCCAUCAUCUACAUCUGGAUUCCUGACCCGGAGAAACUAUGAGUAAUGUGUGCUGCUUUUGAGCCACUAAGCUACAUGAAUUAAUGAAGGAUCAUUAUUAAGUUUUUAAUGGGUCAAGAGAAAGUUACCACUGAGGUCUUCUCUACCUGGGCAACAAUUGACUCCUAACAACCACUAUAAGCUUGGAAGAUGAUCCCUCCCCAGCUGAUCCUUCAGGCUCAGACUUUGACAGUCCUCUGAUAUACUUUAUAUGUAAAUAGAUGGCUGAGUGUUCUGGCUGAUGAACAUGGGUUACUUAACCAGAGUUAAGCGAGGACUUUCUCACCUGAAACCACCAAGAGACACAAAAGCCAGAAAAGGACAGAAAUUAAUUCAAGGGUCAACAAAUAGAGUCGGCUUUCUUUAAGACCUGAAGUGUAGAAGUCUAGGUUGAACCCUAGGUUGAUUACGUUGAAGACUACAUUCUCCUGUGAAGCAAGCAUUCCUAAAGGGUCUCUACUUUUUGUAGCCUGGGGAUUUUCUACUCCCCCAACAGCCAGAUGAGGCAGAAACCCCUACAGACAUCCCUAUGUGCCUCCUGUGCAAGUGCAGUUGCCCCUUGAAGGCAGUUCUCCUGCUGCAGACCACGCCCACCAAGGGCAGAGUCACAGCCACUGCAGCUGAGCUCAGAGCCUUCUGUGGGGUCUGCAGGGGCAAGGCCAGCUGUCCCCUGGGAUAGUUUGAAGAAUGCAGUUUGUUUGUAUAAUAAAGAUGUUUCUCUACGUCAUUCAUCUUGCUAAUCAAGGACGUUUAACAGCUUCAGACUUUCCUGGUAAUAUUUGUUCUUGCCUUUUUUUGGCAAAUAUAGUUAACACUUCUAUGCAUUUUUUACCUCACAUAAACAUCAUCUAAAACCAUUCAUAUUUCUGUAUUGCGUAUUAAUGCUUUUCAUUCCUGUAUAUAAAAAUGCAUUCAUAAUCGCUUUUCAAAAUACAUUUUCAGUUACCUUUUCAAGCAUCAUUCUUUACUAAUUGAAUGGAAAUAUCACUUUUAUUGAG